GGUUUAAUUUCGAUGCAACGCGAAAAACCUUACCACUUCUUGACAUGGAGGCUAGAUCCUUCUUAACAGAAGGGCGCAGUUCGGCUGGGCCUCGCACAGGUGCUGCAUGGCUGUCGUCAGCUCGUGUCGUGAGAUGUUGGGUUAAGUCCCGCAACGAGCGCAACCCUCAUCCUUAGUUACCAGCGGGUAAUGCCGGGCACUUUAAGGAAACUGCCAGUGAUAAACUGGAGGAAGGUGGGGAUGAUGUCAAGUCAGCACGGCCCUUAUGGGGUGGGCUACACACGUGCUACAAUGGCGACUACAAUAGGUUGCAACGUCGCAAGGCUGAGCUAAUCCGUAAAAGUCGUCUCAGUUCGGAUUGUCCUCUGUAACUCGAGGGCAUGAAGUCGGAAUCGCUAGUAAUCGUGGAUCAGCAUGCCACAGGUUGAAUAC
This 432-nucleotide ribosomal RNA is filed under the name uncultured Anaplasma sp. RNAcentral's name for it is "bacterial SSU rRNA". It matches the Rfam family "Bacterial small subunit ribosomal RNA", at positions 943 to 1369 of the family's 1533-position model. Lineage: Bacteria; Pseudomonadati; Pseudomonadota; Alphaproteobacteria; Rickettsiales; Anaplasmataceae. The record is from RNAcentral.